GACGAACGCUGGCGGCGCGCCUAACACAUGCCAGUCGAACGAGCGAGAGGAGGUUUACUUUCUCAAGCGAGUGGCGAACGGGUGAGUAACGCGUGAGGAACCUGCCUCAAAGAGGGGGACAACAGUUGGAAACGACUGCUAAUACCGCAUAAGCCCACGACCCGGCAUCGGGUAGAGGGAAAAGGAGCAAUCCGCUUUGAGAUGGCCUCGCGUCCGAUUAGCUAGUUGGUGAGGUAAUGGCCCACCAAGGCGACGAUCGGUAGCCGGACUGAGAGGUUGAACGGCCACAUUGGGACUGAGACACGGCCCAGACUCCUACGGGAGGCAGCAGUGGGGAAUAUUGCACAAUGGGGGAAACCCUGAUGCAGCGACGCCGCGUGGAGGAAGAAGGUCUUCGGAUUGUAAACUCCUGUUGUUGAGGAAGAUAAUGACGGUACUCAACAAGGAAGUGACGGCUAACUACGUG
RNAcentral lists this ribosomal RNA (466 nucleotides) under uncultured bacterium. RNAcentral's name for it is "partial 16S ribosomal RNA". It matches the Rfam family "Bacterial small subunit ribosomal RNA", at positions 28 to 507 of the family's 1533-position model. The record is from RNAcentral.